GACGCCUCUUUCUUUCCUGGGCAGGAGCUUCCUCUUGCCUCACACACGUUGUCAAGAAAGAACAAGCUCAAACGGACUCAUUGGCUCCCUGGGACGGCGAACCCAGCCUUGAUUACAGUUUUGAGCUCUCCCGGGAAUGUGGCCUUUUAACAAUCAGACAUCCAUCCUUCCCCCGCCCCAGCAGCCCUGAUGAGGUCACCUGAAUGAUGCUGCACACACGGUAAGGGGCGUCCACCGGAACCCCCCUGCCCCCAGAUGGGGGACAUCUCCCACGGAGGAUGCUCUGAAAUGCGGUGUGUCCAGCCUCGACCUCGGACUUUACCGGCACCUGAAUCCCCGCCCCAUCCUCCGACUUGCAAAAUCUCGACCACCCUGGAAGUGGGAACGUCUAGCAAAACUAUGGUACAGUGUCACAGCUGGGACACGGACAUGGAUGCUGGCAAGACACAAGUCGCUUUCACCACCACCCGGAUCCCUCAGGAUGGCUCACUUCCCUUUGCUACCCACGCCCCCAAACCCUGGCAUGCCGUCAUCGGUUCUCCAUUUGCGUAAUUUUCUCAUAUCCGUGGAAUCAUACAUUCUGUAACCUUUAGAAAUUGGCUUUUUUUUCCCUUUUUUGACUCAGCAUAACUUCCCAGUGAUCUAUCCACAUUCCUGUAUUGGGCCAAUACUCUGCUCCGUGUUAUUACUGAGUGGGAUGGAGAGGUGUGGGUGGACCUCAGUUUGCUUAAAACACUCACCCUUGAUGAACAUUUUGGUUGUUUCCAGUUCCUGAUUAUUGCAAAUAA
Long non-coding RNA from Canis lupus familiaris (dog), 788 nucleotides. RefSeq lists it as uncharacterized. The transcript has 3 exons. NCBI's taxonomy places the organism in Eukaryota, Metazoa, Chordata, Mammalia, Carnivora, Canidae. The record is from RefSeq and is a predicted model, not a curated record.